RNAcentral lists this transfer RNA (77 nucleotides) under Actinomycetes bacterium. RNAcentral's name for it is "tRNA-Pro". It matches the Rfam family "tRNA". From Rfam's summary of the family: Transfer RNA (tRNA) molecules are approximately 80 nucleotides in length. Their secondary structure includes four short double-helical elements and three loops (D, anti-codon, and T loops). RNAcentral also lists the same sequence under 7 other names. Lineage: Bacteria; Bacillati; Actinomycetota; Actinomycetes. The record is from RNAcentral.
CGGGCUGUAGCGCAGCUUGGUAGCGCGCUUCGUUCGGGACGAAGAGGUCGUGGGUUCGAAUCCCGCCAGCCCGACCA